Dickeya dadantii 3937 is the source of this 152-nucleotide regulatory RNA element. It matches the Rfam family "Leucine operon leader". From Rfam's summary of the family: At least 6 amino acid operons are known to be regulated by attenuation. NCBI's taxonomy places the organism in Bacteria, Pseudomonadati, Pseudomonadota, Gammaproteobacteria, Enterobacterales, Pectobacteriaceae. The record is from Rfam.
UUGGACAACGAAACAGCAUGUUUAACUUCGCUCAGCUACCAGGCCUACUACUAAACGCAUCUCACGUGCGCGGUAUGCCGGUGGGCGAAAUCCAGAGCUGAUUUCACGUCACACCUCAUAUAAAAAACCCGCGCCGAUGCGCGGGUUUUUUU